AUGAAGAUCUUGAACAAGACCGCCAACAACGCUCUAGCUCAUGUCCAACGGUCAAAGAAAGCCUCACACAAUCUAGAUUUGAAGGCCAAGGCAAUUCCGGAAGAAGAAGAAGAAGAAGAAGAAGAAGAGGAAGAAGAAGAGAGUUGCCCCGAAGACACCAAAUAUGCUUACCACGAGCACAUGGCUCUUGCAUCAAGGCAAUUUUGGGGCAACAAGAGAAACUCAAGGCUCAACUUCUCCAAGAACAACUCAAGUGGCUCCGAGGGCAAGCAAUGCGUGAGAACAUGCUACAAUUGUGGCAAUGUGAGUCACUUUGUGAUGGAUUUCCCCUACGAGAAGAGGGAAGACAAUGGUGGCAAGCUUAGUCACAAAGACAAGGCCAAGUCCUUCCCCAACAAGAACAACUUCACCAAGAAGGUGACACGAAAGGGGUUGGUUGCACAUGAAGAGUACAUCUUCGAUGAUGAUGAUGAUGAUGCAAGUGGCGAAGGAAUGGCGACGACCUCCAUGGCCAUUGCCACCUCUUCCCCAACCAAGGUGUCACUCUUUCACCCUCCCAACAAGAACCUCAUCCCCAUGUGCCUCAUGGCUAAAGGCAUCAACAAGAAGGCACUUUGA
This 618-nucleotide ribosomal RNA is filed under the name Triticum aestivum (bread wheat). Its description in RNAcentral is "partial small subunit ribosomal RNA". The record is from RNAcentral. Lineage: Eukaryota; Viridiplantae; Streptophyta; Magnoliopsida; Poales; Poaceae.